Molecule: ribosomal RNA, 378 nt
Filed under: Triticum aestivum (bread wheat)
Lineage: Eukaryota; Viridiplantae; Streptophyta; Magnoliopsida; Poales; Poaceae
Description: partial small subunit ribosomal RNA
Source: RNAcentral
AUGCAAGACUAUUUCGCGGAGAAUCCUACAUAUCCUCCGCACCUCUUUCGGAGAAGGUACCGAAUGCGCCGAUCCCUCUUUGUGAAAAUCGUUGAAGCUUGCGAGACAAAUUGCUGGUAUUUUACUCAAAGAAGAAAUGUCGCGGGUUUAAAGGGAUUUAGUGCAUAUCAAAAAAUCUCCGCAGCUAUGCGGGUGAUUGCAUAUUGCAAUGGUCUCAUUUGUUUGCUAGGCUUGCUAGUGGUGAUGCUCCUGCUUACAACUACACUAUCAAUGGCCAUGAAUACACAAAAGGGUACUAUCUUGCAGAUGGUAUAUACCCUUCUUGGUGCACAUUUAUCAAGAGCAUCAAAGAACCCAAAACAAAAAAACAAUGUGUGA